GACGAACGCUGGCGGCGUGCUUAACACAUGCAAGUCGAACGGAAAGGCCUUUUCGGAGGUACUCGAGUGGCGAACGGGUGAGUAACACGUGGGUGAUCUGCCCUGCACUCUGGGAUAAGCCUGGGAAACUGGGUCUAAUACCGGAUAGGACCGCACUUUAGUGUGUGUGGUGGAAAGUUUUUUCGGUGUAGGAUGAGCCCGCGGCCUAUCAGCUUGUUGGUGGGGUAAUGGCCUACCAAGGCGGCGACGGGUAGCCGGACUGAGAGGUUGGUCGGCCACAUUGGGACUGAGAUACGGCCCAGACUCCUACGGGAGGCAGCAGUGGGGAAUAUUGCACAAUGGGCGCAAGCCUGAUGCAGCGACGCCGCGUGGGGGAUGACGGCCUUCGGGUUGUAAACUCCUUUCGCCAGGGGCGAAGCGUUUUGUGACGGUACCUGGAGAAGAAGCACCGGCUAACUACGUG
Molecule: ribosomal RNA, 463 nt
Filed under: uncultured bacterium
Lineage: Bacteria
Description: partial 16S ribosomal RNA
Rfam family: Bacterial small subunit ribosomal RNA
Source: RNAcentral